Molecule: long non-coding RNA, 315 nt
Filed under: Fukomys damarensis (Damara mole-rat)
Lineage: Eukaryota; Metazoa; Chordata; Mammalia; Rodentia; Bathyergidae
Description: lncRNA (ENSFDAG00000030893.1)
Source: RNAcentral
GGCCCCCGCGCCCGUGGCAGAACUGUGAGUGCUCGCUCUGGGGCAGAACUGCGAAGAGCAGAGAACCUCCCGAGUCCACGCUGCGGGGGUCUCAGGCCCUCCUUCCCGAAGGUGGCUGCCUUGCGGGCAGCAUCCCACAGGCUGUGCAAGGUGUCCGGGAGCGCUUGGCUCCUCCUCUUCCCGGAGAGUCAGCCCUGGUGUGAAAGCUACUACCUCAAGACAUAAGAGUUUGACAUUGCCGAUGUCUCUUCUUGGUACCCAAGGCCACAGAUUUUCCAAGUGGGACACAGAGACCUCAACUUGUUGAGUUAGAAG